GGGAGUGACUUGGCUUCGACAGGAGCAGGUUGGUCUUGACUGCAUACCGCUUUGAACAUAGCGUAAAAAGUUCAUAAAAUUUAGACGCAAAUAACAAAAAUUACGCUCCUGCUUACGCAAAAAUCGCGUAAGUUUUAAUUUAGGAGGCUUCGCGCCGCCGACGCUAUCUAGGCGGAUUUCGCGAGGCUCACCGAUAGAUAGCUUAAGUAUAACGUCUAACCAUCGUUAUGCUGACAUUUUGGUUUGCACUUUUGUGUAGUUUUCGCGGAUUGAGCGAAACAAAAGCAAAGAUUUAUCAAUCCUUCUAAGUAUGUAGAUGUUAGGAUGGGCUUGUUUUUGGACAGGGGUUCAAUUCCCCUCACUUCCACCA
RNAcentral lists this transfer-messenger RNA (370 nucleotides) under Campylobacteraceae bacterium. It matches the Rfam family "transfer-messenger RNA". From Rfam's summary of the family: Bacterial tmRNA, also known as 10Sa RNA or SsrA, is named for its dual tRNA and mRNA-like properties. Its role is to liberate the mRNA from a stalled ribosome. To accomplish this part of the tmRNA is used as a reading frame that ends in a translation stop signal. The record is from RNAcentral. Lineage: Bacteria; Pseudomonadati; Campylobacterota; Epsilonproteobacteria; Campylobacterales; Campylobacteraceae.